AUUGAACGCUGGCGGCAGGCUUAACACAUGCAAGUCGAGCGGAGCGAGGGUGCUUGCACCUUAGCUUAGCGGCGGACGGGUGAGUAAUGCUUAGGAAUCUGCCUAUUAGUGGGGGACAACAUUCCGAAAGGAAUGCUAAUACCGCAUACGCCCUACGGGGGAAAGCAGGGGAUCUUCGGACCUUGCGCUAAUAGAUGAGCCUAAGUCGGAUUAGCUAGUUGGUGGAGUAAAGGCCUACCAAGGCGACGAUCUGUAGCGGGUCUGAGCGGAUGAUCCGCCACACUGGGACUGAGACACGGCCCAGACUCCUACGGGAGGCAGCAGUGGGGAAUAUUGGACAAUGGGCGGAAGCCUGAUCCAGCCAUGCCGCGUGUGUGAAGAAGGCCUUUUGGUUGUAAAGCACUUUAAGCGAGGAGGAGGCUACUUAGAUUAAUACUCUGGGAUAGUGGACGUUACUCGCAGAAUAAGCACCGGCUAACUCUGUGCCAGCCGCCGCGGUAA
This 501-nucleotide ribosomal RNA is filed under the name uncultured bacterium. Its description in RNAcentral is "partial 16S ribosomal RNA". It matches the Rfam family "Bacterial small subunit ribosomal RNA", at positions 30 to 523 of the family's 1533-position model. The record is from RNAcentral.